UCGCACGUUGGGUCAUUGUUUUUGAGUACGCUUAUACGUUGCCUUAAGGUGCGUUCCUUUAUUUACUGCGAGUACUGACGCAAUGACGUCAUGAAAGUGUACUGCCAGAGUGUUCCAUUUUAACUUUGAGAACUGUCGAAGUGCUGCAGCGUUAUAAAUCGGAACGCAUAACAGCACGCUUUGUACAGUAAGUCCACUAUAAUAGGUUAUUUCAAAGACAUUCGUAUAUUCGUAUUCACAACAAUCUUGUGCUUCAAUUGAUACAAUAUUGCUGUAUGCAGUCUUGAUAUUUUAGUAAUAUAAACACGAAAGAUACGUUCGCGUUCGACAAAUCCUGAGAGGUUCCAAAGAAAUGACACAAUCACAAUCGUUUUGUUGGAAAACACGACGCUGAUCUCCUUGAGAGUAAUUAUUAUUAUUUUCAUAGAGAAUGGAUGAAAUAUCUAAUAAAAAUAUAAUUGCAUUUAUUGCAACUAUGUUAAUGGAAAUAAUAAAUGAGGAUGAAUCAAGUGACAGUGAUAGCGAUGUAGAUAUUAUUCAAAACUUGUUAAUACAACCUCGGGUACCUACAAUAAAAAUAAAAAAUUAUGUAGAAAAUAUUGUGUCUUUAUACUCAGAGGUGGAGUUUAAAAUACAUUUUCGAGUUGUUAACUUCUCAUCUAAAUAAGUAUUCAAAUACAUUUGGACGUCAACCUAUUUCUCCCGAAAAACAAUUAUUAAUGUCAAUUUGGAUGAUGGCAUCACCUAAUUCAUAUAGAUGGGGGAUUUCAUAUGAAGUGAUCAAGCUAAAAAAAAUUUUUUCUCCAAUUAUGUUUAAACUCGGGGCAUUUGUAGCCCUAUUAGGUGGUAAUAUUUGGUAGAAAAAUUUUUCCAUUUGCUCCAAUAUUUGAGGAGGGGGAGGGGGUGAAAGUUUUGGGGGCCCGUUUCAUUAAACAAUUUUUUUCAGAUAAUUAAAUGAAUAAAAAAAAUUUAUGAAUAUCAGUUUCGAUAUGUUUUUUUAUGCCCUUUCGAUUGGUAAAAUGCAUUUAAAAAAAAAAAAUUUUGAUUCAAAAAACUCAAAGUUAAAAAUAAAAAUGACUUUUUUUGGAAGAAAGACACGAUUUUUUUUAUUUUUUAUUUUUUUAAAUGAAAGCUGAGAUUUUUUCCUAUAAGAACAUAUAGUUCCGAAAAUGGGCCUAGAAUGUUAAAUUCAUGAAAAUUAGAGUUUAUCUGCUGACUCGAGCGCCGCGGACAAGAGCGCGAGGCUGCAGUUGACUGUCUAGUAUAAGGAGGCGAACGUUAACGCUCUCUGCAUUUAACAGGGUUGAGACUGUCAUUUUGUGAAUGCCUGCAUUACGCUAACGCAUAAAUUUGGAAAAAAUUUUGAAACUUGAAACCUAAAUAAAUAAAAAUUUAUAAUUUUUAAAACGUAAAAUCCUUGAGAAAGAUAAAUAGUGUACUUGAGCUGAAAAAGUGAAUUUAUAAUUAUAUCUGAAGUCGUUAAAUACUUACAUCCCUUUAAGUAAUGUCCUUCAGUUUUCGCUGUUUUCUUUGUCUUUUUUUACU
Molecule: RNA transcript, 1545 nt
Organism: Odontomachus brunneus
Lineage: Eukaryota; Metazoa; Arthropoda; Insecta; Hymenoptera; Formicidae
Exons: 3
Source: RefSeq, a predicted model, not a curated record